Molecule: non-coding RNA, 29 nt
Filed under: Homo sapiens (human)
Lineage: Eukaryota; Metazoa; Chordata; Mammalia; Primates; Hominidae
Source: RNAcentral
UCAAAUGGCUGCAGAUUGGUACAUGAGAC